Molecule: ribosomal RNA, 440 nt
Filed under: uncultured Anaerolineaceae bacterium
Lineage: Bacteria; Bacillati; Chloroflexota; Anaerolineae; Anaerolineales; Anaerolineaceae
Description: bacterial SSU rRNA
Rfam family: Bacterial small subunit ribosomal RNA
Source: RNAcentral
CCUACGGGAGGCUGCAGUGGGGAAUAUUAGAAAUGGACGAAAGUCUGAUCUAGCGACACCGCGUGUGCGAUGAAGGCCUUCGGGUUGUAAAGCACUUUUUGGAAGGAAUAGGAAGGAAGGUACUUCCAGAAUAAGUCUCGGCUAACUACGUGCCAGCAGCCGCGGUAACACGUAGGAGGCAAACGUUAUCCGGAUUUACUGGGCGUAAAGCGCGUGUAGGUGGUUCUGUAAGUAGGGCGUGAAAGCUCCCGGCUCAACUGGGAGAGGCCGUUCUAAACUGCAGAGCUAGAGGAUGGUAGAGGGAGGUGGAAUUCCAGGUGUAGCGGUGGAAUGCGCAGAUAUCUGGAGGAACACCAGUGGCGAAAGCGGCCUCCUGGACCAUUCCUGACACUCAGACGCGAAAGCUAGGGUAGCAAACGGGCUUAGAUACCCUGGUAGUC